Molecule: ribosomal RNA, 253 nt
Filed under: uncultured bacterium
Lineage: Bacteria
Description: partial 16S ribosomal RNA
Rfam family: Bacterial small subunit ribosomal RNA
Source: RNAcentral
UACGUAGGGUGCAAGCGUUGUCCGGAAUUAUUGGGCGUAAAGAGCUCGUAGGCGGUUUGUCGCGUCUGCUGUGAAAUCCCGAGGCUCAACCUCGGGCCUGCAGUGGGUACGGGCAGACUAGAGUGCGGUAGGGGAGAUUGGAAUUCCUGGUGUAGCGGUGGAAUGCGCAGAUAUCAGGAGGAACACCGGUGGCGAAGGCGGUUCUCUGGGCAUGUCCUGACGCUGAGGCGCGAAAGCGUGGGGAGCAAACAGG